This 492-nucleotide ribosomal RNA is filed under the name uncultured bacterium. Its description in RNAcentral is "partial 16S ribosomal RNA". It matches the Rfam family "Bacterial small subunit ribosomal RNA", at positions 29 to 507 of the family's 1533-position model. The record is from RNAcentral.
AGUGAACGCUGGCGGUAGGCCUAACACAUGCAAGUCGAACGGCAGCACAGUAAGAGCUUGCUCUUACGGGUGGCGAGUGGCGGACGGGUGAGGAAUACAUCGGAAUCUACUUUUUCGUGGGGGAUAACGUAGGGAAACUUACGCUAAUACCGCAUACGACCUACGGGUGAAAGCAGGGGAUCUUCGGACCUUGCGCGAUUGAAUGAGCCGAUGUCGGCUUAGCUAGUUGGCGGGGUAAAGGCCCACCAGGGCGACGAUCCGUAGCUGGUCUGAGAGGAUGAUCAGCCACACUGGAACGGAGACACGGUCCAGACUCCUACGGGAGGCAGCAGUGGGGAAUAUUGGACAAUGGGCGCAAGCCUGAUCCAGCCAUACCGCGUGGGUGAAGAAGGCCUUCGGGUUGUAAAGCCCUUUUGUUGGGAAAGAAAAGCAGCAGGUUAAUACCCCGCUGUUCUGACGGUACCCAAAGAAUAAGCACCGGCUAACUUCGUG